UGUGGUCAAGUUUUUAUGGGCACAUGGUGGAUGUCUGGGCAUCAGGAGCCGAUGAAGGACGUGGGAGGCUGCGAUAAGCCUCGGGGAGCUGUCAACCGAGCUGUGAUCCGAGGGUGUCCGAAUGGGGUAACCCAGCGCCCGUGAUGGGGCGUUACCCGCCGCUGAAUGUAUAGGCGGUGUGGAGGGAACGCGGGGAAGUGAAACAUCUCAGUACCCGUAGGAAGAGAAAACAAGUGUGAUUCCGUGAGUAGUGGCGAGCGAAAGCGGAGGAGGCUAAACCGUGCGCAUGUCAAGCUGGCAGGUGUUGUGUGUGCGGUGUUGUGGGAGCCGGUGGGGAGAACUGCCAUUCUCCCGGAUGCGUGCUGUGGUUAGUGGAAUCGUCUGGGAUGGCGGACCGGAGUGGGUGAGAGUCCCGUACGCGAAAACCGUGGUGGCGUGUUUGGCCGGUGUUCCCGAGUAGCAGCGAGCUCGUGGAAUUUGCUGUGAAUCUGCCGGGACCACCCGGUAAGCCUAAAUACUUCCUGGUGACCGAUAGCGGACGAGUACCGUGAGGGAAAGAUGAAAAGUACCCCGGGAGGGGAGUGAAAGAGUACCUGAAACCGUGUGCCUACAAGCCGUCAGAGCGGUCCCUUUUGGGGAUGGUGAUGGCGUGCCUUUUGAAGAAUGAGCCUGCGAGUUAGUGCUGCGUGGCGAGGUUAACCCGUGUGGGGUAGCCGUAGCGAAAGCGAGUCUGAAGAGGGCGUGUGAGUCGCGUGGUCUAGACCCGAAGCGGGGUGAUCUACCCAUGGCCAGGGUGAAGCGCCGGUAAGACGGCGUGGAGGCCCGAACCCACCAGGGUUGAAAACCUGGGGGAUGAGCUGUGGGUAGGGGUGAAAGGCCAAUCAAACUCCGUGAUAGCUGGUUCUCCCCGAAAUGCAUUUAGGUGCAGCGUCGCGUGUUUCACACCUGGGGUAGAGCUACUGGGUGGCCUAGGGGCCUUACCGGGUUACCGAAGUCAACCAAACUCCGAAUACGGGUGUGUGAGAGCGCGGCAGUGAGACGGCGGGGGAUAAGCUUCGUCGUCGAGAGGGAAACAGCCCAGAACACCGGCUAAGGCCCCGAAGUGUGUGCUCAGUGGGAAAGGAUGUGGGAUUGCCCAGACAACCAGGAGGUUGGCUUAGAAGCAGCCAUCCUUGAAAGAGUGCGUAAUAGCUCACUGGUCAAGUGGUCCUGCGCCGACAAUGUAGCGGGGCUUAAGCACACCGCCGAAGCCGUGUCACUCACACAGAUACAUCCAUCAUCGGGGCUUUGUUCCUGGUGGUGUAGUGGUGUGGGUGGGUAGGGGAGCGUCCUGCACCCGGGGAAGCCGUGGCGGAAGCCAACGGUGGAGGGUGUGGGAGUGAGAAUGCAGGCAUGAGUAGCGAAUGCAGAGUGAGAACCUCUGCCGCCGGAUGACCAAGGGUUCCUGGGCCAGGCUAAUCCGCCCAGGGUAAGUCGGGACCUAAGGCGAGGCCGACAGGCGUAGUCGAUGGACAACGGGUUGAUAUUCCCGUACCCGCGUGUGCGCGUCCCUGGCGAGGCAGGUGAGACUAACCACCCGCCCCGCUCGCCGGCCCUCCUUUGGGGGGUGGGUGGGUGGUGGUGCGUGGGACCUGAUCCUGUAGUAGCCAAGCGAUGGGGUGACGCAGGAAGGUAGCUCCGCCAGUCAGUGGUGAUACUGGUGUAAGCGUGUGGCCCGCAGCAUAGGGAAAUCCGUGCUGCUGACCCUGCGAGGGUCGAGGGUGAGGCGUGAUGCGUAGCCGUGUGAGGCGAAGUAGAGUGAUCCUAUGCUGCCGAGAAAAGCCUCUAGCGAGUGCAUGGGCGGCCCGUACCCCAAACCGACACAGGUGGUCAGGUAGAGAAUACCGAGGCGAUCGGGUGAACUGUGGUUAAGGAACUCGGCAAAAUGCCCCCGUAACUUCGGGAGAAGGGGGGCCAGAGCGCCUGAAGCCCCGUGCGGGCUAGGGCGAGUUGGCCGCAGAGACCAGCGGAAAGCGACUGUUUACUAAAAACACAGGUCCGUGCGAAGACGCAAGUCGAGGUAUACGGACUGACGCCUGCCCGGUGCUGGAACGUUAAGAGGACCGGUUAGCCCCCUUCGGGGGCGAAGCUGAGAAUUUAAGCGCCAGUAAACGGCGGUGGUAACUAUAACCAUCCUAAGGUAGCGAAAUUCCUUGUCGGGUAAGUUCCGACCUGCACGAAUGGCGUAACGACUUUCCGGCUGUCUCAACCACAGGCCCGGCGAAAUUGCACUACGAGUAAAGAUGCUCGUUACGCGCGGCAGGACGGAAAGACCCCGGGACCUUUACUACAGCUUGGUAUUGGUUUUCGGUUCGGCUUGUGUAGGAUAGGUGGGAGACUGUGAAGCGGUCACGCUAGUGGUCGUGGAGUCGUUGUUGAAAUACCACUCUGGUCGGAUGGGGAACCUCAACCUCGGACCGUGAUCCGGUUCAGGGACAGUGCCUGGUGGGUAGUUUAACUGGGGCGGUUGCCUCCCAAAGAGUAACGGAGGCGCCCAAAGGUUCCCUCAGCCUGGUUGGCAAUCAGGUGUUGAGUGUAAGUGCACAAGGGAGCUUGACUGUGAGACUGACGGGUCGAGCAGGGACGAAAGUCGGGACUAGUGAUCCGGCACCACCUGGUGGAAGGGGUGUCGCUCAACGGAUAAAAGGUACCCCGGGGAUAACAGGCUGAUCUUGCCCAAGAGUCCAUAUCGACGGCAUGGUUUGGCACCUCGAUGUCGGCUCGUCGCAUCCUGGGGCCGGAGUAGGUCCCAAGGGUUGGGCUGUUCGCCCAUUAAAGCGGCACGCGAGCUGGGUUUAGAACGUCGUGAGACAGUUCGGUCCCUAUCCGCCGCGCGCGCAGGAGACUUGCGGAAGGCUGUCCCUAGUACGAGAGGACCGGGACGGACGAACCUCUGGUAUGCCAGUUGUCCCACCAGGGGCACGGCUGGUUAGCUACGUUCGGAAGGGAUAACCGCUGAAGGCAUCUAAGCGGGAAGCCUGUUCCUAGAUGAGGUCUCCCACCCCCACGUGGGGUUAAGGCCCCCAGCAGACCACUGGGUUGAUAGGCCAGACAUGGACGCACCGCAAGGUGUUCUCGAGUGGACUGGUACUAAUAGGCCGAGGACUUGCCCA
Molecule: ribosomal RNA, 3152 nt
Filed under: Prauserella shujinwangii
Lineage: Bacteria; Bacillati; Actinomycetota; Actinomycetes; Pseudonocardiales; Pseudonocardiaceae
Description: bacterial LSU rRNA
Rfam family: Bacterial large subunit ribosomal RNA
Source: RNAcentral